GGUGCUAUAGUGUAGUGGUCAUCACUCGGGAUUUUGACCGUAUGUUCCCGGAACCCAGGUUCGAACCCUGGUAGCACCU
This 79-nucleotide transfer RNA is filed under the name Heterobasidion irregulare TC 32-1. It matches the Rfam family "tRNA". From Rfam's summary of the family: Transfer RNA (tRNA) molecules are approximately 80 nucleotides in length. Their secondary structure includes four short double-helical elements and three loops (D, anti-codon, and T loops). Lineage: Eukaryota; Fungi; Basidiomycota; Agaricomycetes; Russulales; Bondarzewiaceae. The record is from Rfam by way of RNAcentral.